Molecule: small RNA, 445 nt
Filed under: Pongo abelii (Sumatran orangutan)
Lineage: Eukaryota; Metazoa; Chordata; Mammalia; Primates; Hominidae
Description: retained intron
Source: RNAcentral
GGGACCCCAAAAGCCAAGGGAGAUGGAAGCUCAGAAAGGAAGGAACUCCCCACAUCGCAGAAAGGUUAGUUAUGUGGGAGUGAGUGGUCUGAGAGAAUCCAACUCUCUUCUGGCUUAGGAGCUGGCAAGUUAUUUGAUGGGAAAUGGACUGGCCUCCAGGAGUCAAGGGUGGGGUCAAGGGUCCUGGCCUGUAGGGCUGUGGGAUUAGAGACCUGUUCUGGGCAUCAGAUGUAGGACAUCUCUGAUUGGAGUGGGGACUCUUGCUCAUAGGAGAUGAUGGUCCAGAUAUUGCAGAUGAAGAAUCCCGUGGCCUCGAGGGCAAAGCUGAUACACCAGGACCUGAGGAUGGGGGCGUGAAGGCAUCCCCAGUGCCCAGUGACCCUGAGAAGCCAGGCACCCCAGGUGAAGGGAUGCUUAGCUCUGACUUAGACAGGAUUUCCACAGA